This 1528-nucleotide long non-coding RNA is filed under the name Sus scrofa (pig). Its description in RNAcentral is "lncRNA (ENSSSCG00070029054.1)". Lineage: Eukaryota; Metazoa; Chordata; Mammalia; Artiodactyla; Suidae. The record is from RNAcentral.
AUGGGCUGUGAACACUGCCUUGCUUUUAGUUUUCUGCAAAGGACGGUUGUUAGUUCCCCCAAGGCGGGCCCCAAUUCUAGGUCCCCUUCGGUCCCCCAGGCUUCCCUGGAGGGACUGUUGCCAGGGGUGGACUUAGCAGCGCCCCCAACCGGCUCAGGCCGGCCCGGCCCCGCCCCUCCCUCUGACUCACUAGGGGCGGCUUCUAGCCGCUCACGUCGGGGGGAGGGGGGAGGGGAGGGAGAGAUGGGAAAGGAAGGGGAGGGGAGGAGGGAAGGGGGAGGAGGGAGGGGGGAGAGAAGAGAGGAGGGGGGAGAGAAGGGGAGGGGAGGAAAGGGUGGCAGACACUGUGGCAGACACUGUGGUCCAAGUAACACAGCGGAGCGUAGGCAGAUAGGGCACAAGGAGGCUCCAGCAAGUUGUCACUUGCCAGAGGAAGCGCAGCUAGUAAGUAGCCAAACUGUCUCUUUCCAUUUUUCCAGAUUAUCUGCCAGCCUCUGGUUUUCAUGGGAUCACUCAGGCGCCAGCUAGAGUUUAAUUUAUCUUGUUCUGGUCCAGAAUUUUUUUUUUUUGUCUUUUUGCUAUUUGUUUGGGUCGCUCCCAGGGCAUAUGGAGGUCCCCAGGCUAGGAACUGUAGCCCCCGGCCUACGCCAGAGUCACAGCAACGCAGGAUCCAAGCCGAGUCUGCGACCUAACACCACAGCUCACGGCAACGCCGGAUCGUUAACCCACUGAGCAAGAGCAGAGACCGAACCCGCAACCUCAUGGUUCCUAGUCGGAUUCGUUAACCACUGCGCCACGACGGGAACUCCCAGAAAUUUUUUUUUCUUUUUUAGGGUGGCACCUGUGGCAUAUGGAAGUUCCUAGGCUAGAGGUCAAAUUGGAUCUGUAGCUGCCAGCCUACACCACAGCAACGCAGGAUCCAAGCUACAUCUGCCACCUACACCACAGCUCAAGGCAACACCAGGUCCCUGACCCAACCCACAUCCUCAUGGAUACUAGUCGUUUCCGCUGAGCCAGGAGGGGAACCCCUGGUCCAGAAAUUUUAACGCAGGGGAUUGAUUUACUUCCACUGCCCUUCUCCCCCCCCCCCCCCCACCGCCAGGUGUGGCCUGGACCCUGAGGGCUGAGCCUUAUCUCUAACUAGCCUGUUGACCAGCCGUGGGCAAGGCCAGGUCUGUGUUCAGGGAAGGUGGUCCAGGGUCCUGGGCUGGGGGCCCCCUCACUUUCUGCUGGAGCACACAGACCAUGCUGCGUCCUCUGGCAAGGGUUCAGGAGGAAAUGGAAGCUUCCUUUGCUCUGCUCCCUGCUCCCUGUGUGAUCAACGGCAAGUCACUUGUGCUCUCAGGGCCUUGUCCUCCUCCUCCUUGUCCAGAAAGCCAGGGAACCAGUGGGACCAGGCUAGCUUUAGAGCCUCAGGGCCUUACGAUGAGGUGGAGGCAAGAUGGCCCUGGAGUGAACCAGAACCAGGUUCAUUUUUGUCGCUGUCCUGCAGAGCACCCAGGACCAAGAUGGUGUGACAGUCACGUUC